GAUGAACGCUGGCGGCGUGCUUAACACAUGCAAGUCGAACGAGAAGUGAAGACGGAAACCUUCGGGCGGAAGGCUUUAUUUCGAGUGGCGGACGGGUGAGUAACGCGUGGGUAACCUGCCUCAUACAGGGGGAUAACAGUUGGAAACGACUGUUAAUACCGCAUAAGACCACAGCACCGCAUGGUGCGGGGGUAAAAACUCCGGUGGUAUGAGAUGGACCCGCGUUCGAUUAGCCAGUUGGCGGGGUAACGGCCCACCAAAGCGACGAUCGAUAGCCGAUCUGAGAGGAUGGCCGGCCACAUUGGGACUGAGACACGGCCCAAACUCCUACGGGAGGCAGCAAUGGGGAAUAUUGCACAAUGGGGGAAACCCUGAUGCAGCGACGCCGCGUGAGUGAAGAAGUAUUUCGGUAUGUAAAGCUCUAUCAGCAGGGAAGAAAAUGACGGUACCUGAGUAAGAAGCCCCGGCUAACUACGUG
This 478-nucleotide ribosomal RNA is filed under the name uncultured bacterium. RNAcentral's name for it is "partial 16S ribosomal RNA". It matches the Rfam family "Bacterial small subunit ribosomal RNA", at positions 28 to 507 of the family's 1533-position model. The record is from RNAcentral.